This 289-nucleotide ribosomal RNA is filed under the name uncultured prokaryote. RNAcentral's name for it is "partial 16S ribosomal RNA". It matches the Rfam family "Bacterial small subunit ribosomal RNA", at positions 505 to 793 of the family's 1533-position model. The record is from RNAcentral.
GUGUCAGCCGCCGCGGUAAUACAGAGGGUGCGAGCGUUAAUCGGAUUUACUGGGCGUAAAGCGUGCGUAGGCGGCUUUUUAAGUCGGAUGUGAAAUCCCUGAGCUUAACUUAGGAAUUGCAUUCGAUACUGGAAAGCUAGAGUAUGGGAGAGGAUGAUAGAAUUCCAGGUGUAGCGGUGAAAUGCGUAGAGAUCUGGAGGAAUACCGAUGGCGAAGGCAGCCAUCUGGCCUAAUACUGACGCUGAGGUACGAAAGCAUGGGGAGCAAACAGGAUUAGAAACCCCGGUAG